AUUAAUAGUAAUUAGGAGGGGUUUAAUGAAAUAAGGGAAGUUACACUUUGAGGGAUUAAGGAAAGAAAGAUUAAGAAAAACAGUUGUACGUGAAAACAUUUGUGUUGGAGAGAAGAACUAGAGAAAGCAAGAGAAACCAAGAACAAGGGGGAAAACUUAGGAGCUGAUUUGCUGUGUUAAUUCUUCCUACAAUUCUAAGGUAAGGGUGGGAUUAUCUUUCAAUAGUUAUAAUAUAUGAUUUCUGAAAAAUUAAUCAAUUUAACUGUUUUUAAGAUAAAAAUUGGAAUUUAGGGUUAAUGAUGAUUUUGAAGAAAAUGUGCAAGAAUCAGGUUCAUGAUGUUGUAUUUGAUGAUUAGUAUGAUUUUCUAAUCUAUAUUGUUCAUAUUGAUCAUAAUUGAAGUGAAAAAUAGAAUAUGAUAGAAGAGUUUUGGAAGUUCUGAAUGAAUGUUGAUUGUAAUGAAUUGUUGUUGUUUAUGUUGGAUUGCUGUUUCUUUUGAUGUCUGGUUGUAUAUAGGACUUGUAAACAUUUCAGGAAAACGUUUUGGGUGAUCAGGGGAUUAAAAUUGGGUUUUUGGAGUGAGAAGUCUGAAAAUCGUAACUUUUACCCUGCCCAGAUGAGUGGUCGCUUAAGUGAACUACCCGUCGCUUAAGCGAGCGAUCAAGAUCGCUGCCCAGAAAUUGUCCUUAGCCGUUCGCUUAAGCGAACCGUGAGCGACCCGUGAGCGAAGAACUUGUUUAGAUACGACAUUGUGUUCGCUUGAGCGAACCCGUG
This 772-nucleotide long non-coding RNA is filed under the name Medicago truncatula (barrel medic). Its description in RNAcentral is "long non-coding RNA (MTRU_LNC007072)". The record is from RNAcentral. Lineage: Eukaryota; Viridiplantae; Streptophyta; Magnoliopsida; Fabales; Fabaceae.